AGUGGGGUGCGUAAGAGUACUGCAACUCGCUGGGGCUCAUAACCCGAAGGUCCUCAGUUCGAAUCUGAGCCCCGCUA
Molecule: transfer RNA, 77 nt
Filed under: Anaerolineales bacterium
Lineage: Bacteria; Bacillati; Chloroflexota; Anaerolineae; Anaerolineales
Description: tRNA-Met
Rfam family: tRNA
About the family: Transfer RNA (tRNA) molecules are approximately 80 nucleotides in length. Their secondary structure includes four short double-helical elements and three loops (D, anti-codon, and T loops). Further hydrogen bonds mediate the characteristic L-shaped molecular structure. tRNAs have two regions of fundamental functional importance: the anti-codon, which is responsible for specific mRNA codon recognition, and the 3' end, to which the tRNAs corresponding amino acid is attached (by aminoacyl-tRNA synthetases). tRNAs cope with the degeneracy of the genetic code in two manners: having more than one tRNA (with a specific anti-codon) for a particular amino acid; and 'wobble' base-pairing, i.e. permitting non-standard base-pairing at the 3rd anti-codon position.
Source: RNAcentral